AAGUUUGGCUAAACCCUAAUCGUA
RNAcentral lists this non-coding RNA (24 nucleotides) under Arabidopsis thaliana (thale cress). The record is from RNAcentral. Lineage: Eukaryota; Viridiplantae; Streptophyta; Magnoliopsida; Brassicales; Brassicaceae.